GUUUGGUUAAGUUAGAAAGGGCGCACGGUGGAUGCCUUGACACUAGGAGUCGAUGAAGGACGGGACUAACGCCGAUAUGCUUCGGGGAGCUGUAAGUAAGCUUUGAUCCGAAGAUUUCCGAAUGGGGAAACCCACCAUACGUAAUGGUAUGGUAUCCUUAUCUGAAUACAUAGGGUAAGGAAGACAGACCCAGGGAACUGAAACAUCUAAGUACCUGGAGGAAGAGAAAGCAAAUGCGAUUUCCUGAGUAGCGGCGAGCGAAACGGAACAUAGCCCAAACCAAGAGGCUUGCCUUGAGUACGGCGGAACACGUGAAAUUCCGUCGGAAUCUGGGAGGACCAUCUCCCAAGGCUAAAUACUCCCUAGUGAUCGAUAGUGAACCAGUACCGUGAGGGAAAGGUGAAAAGCACCCCGGAAGGGGAGUGAAAGAGAUCCUGAAACCGUGUGCCUACAAAUAGUCAGAGCCCGUUAACGGGUGAUGGCGUGCCUUUUGUAGAAUGAACCGGCGAGUUACGAUCCCGUGCGAGGUUAAGCUGAAGAGGCGGAGCCGCAGCGAAAGCGAGUCUGAAUAGGGCGUUUAGUACGUGGUCGUAGACCCGAAACCAGGUGAUCUACCCAUGUCCAGGGUGAAGUUCAGGUAACACUGAAUGGAGGCCCGAACCCACGCACGUUGAAAAGUGCGGGGAUGAGGUGUGGGUAGCGGAGAAAUUCCAAUCGAACCUGGAGAUAGCUGGUUCUCCCCGAAAUAGCUUUAGGGCUAGCCUUAAGUGUAAGAGUCUUGGAGGUAGAGCACUGAUUGGACUAGGGGUCCUCAUCGGAUUACCGAAUUCAGUCAAACUCCGAAUGCCAAUGACUUAUCCUUAGGAGUCAGACUGCGAGUGAUAAGAUCCGUAGUCAAAAGGGAAACAGCCCAGACCGCCAGCUAAGGUCCCAAAGUGUGUAUUAAGUGGAAAAGGAUGUGGAGUUGCUUAGACAACUAGGAUGUUGGCUUAGAAGCAGCCACCAUUUAAAGAGUGCGUAAUAGCUCACUAGUCGAGUGACUCUGCGCCGAAAAUGUACCGGGGCUAAAUACACCACCGAAGCUGCGGAUUGAUACC
This 1097-nucleotide ribosomal RNA is filed under the name Bacillus sp. BI3. Its description in RNAcentral is "bacterial LSU rRNA". It matches the Rfam family "Bacterial large subunit ribosomal RNA", at positions 1 to 1214 of the family's 2925-position model. Lineage: Bacteria; Bacillati; Bacillota; Bacilli; Caryophanales; Bacillaceae. The record is from RNAcentral.